AACGAACGCUGGCGGCAUGCCUAACACAUGCAAGUCGAACGAGACCUUCGGGUCUAGUGGCGCACGGGUGCGUAACGCGUGGGAACCUGCCCUUAGGUUCGGAAUAACUCCCCGAAAGGGGUGCUAAUACCGGAUAAUGUCUUCGGACCAAAGAUUUAUCGCCUUUGGAUGGGCCCGCGUUGGAUUAGCUAGUUGGUAGGGUAAAAGCCUACCAAGGCGACGAUCCAUAGCUGGUCUGAGAGGAUGAUCAGCCACACUGGGACUGAGACACGGCCCAGACUCCUACGGGAGGCAGCAGUGGGGAAUAUUGGACAAUGGGCGAAAGCCUGAUCCAGCAAUGCCGCGUGAGUGAUGAAGGCCUUAGGGUUGUAAAGCUCUUUUACCCGGGACGAUAGUGACAGUACCGGGAGAAUAAGCUCCGGCUAACUCCGUG
This 433-nucleotide ribosomal RNA is filed under the name uncultured bacterium. Its description in RNAcentral is "partial 16S ribosomal RNA". It matches the Rfam family "Bacterial small subunit ribosomal RNA", at positions 29 to 507 of the family's 1533-position model. The record is from RNAcentral.